This 468-nucleotide ribosomal RNA is filed under the name uncultured bacterium. Its description in RNAcentral is "partial 16S ribosomal RNA". It matches the Rfam family "Bacterial small subunit ribosomal RNA", at positions 28 to 507 of the family's 1533-position model. The record is from RNAcentral.
GACGAACGCUGGCGGCGUGCUUAACACAUGCAGGUCGAACGGAAAGGCCCUGCUUUUGUGGGGUGCUCGAGUGGCGAACGGGUGAGUAACACGUGAGUAACCUGCCCUUGACUUUGGGAUAACUUCAGGAAACUGGGGCUAAUAUCGGAUAGGAGCUCCUGCUGCAUGGUGGGGGUUGGAAAGUUUCGGCGGUUGGGGAUGGACUCGCGGCUUAACAGCUUGUUGGUGGGGUAGUGGCUUACCCAGGCUUAGAAGGGUAGCCGGCCUGAGAGGGGGGACGGGGACAAGAGGACUACGGGAGGGCGCAGUCGCGAACAGUAGGCAACGGGGGGAAGCAUGGCACAGUGAGCGGGAGUGAGAGACAGCGGCGCCGGGGUCGUGAAGACGUCCUUCUGGGGGUGAACCGCUGUCGCCUGAGACGAAGCGUGAGUGACGGUAAUGAAUAAAGAAGCACCGGCUAACUACGUG